Molecule: ribosomal RNA, 497 nt
Filed under: uncultured bacterium
Lineage: Bacteria
Description: partial 16S ribosomal RNA
Rfam family: Bacterial small subunit ribosomal RNA
Source: RNAcentral
GACGAACGCUGGCGGCGUGCCUAAUACAUGCAAGUAGAACGCUGAAGAGAGGAGCUUACUCUUCUUGGAUGAGUUGCGAACGGGUGAGUAACGCGUAGGUAACCUGCCUUGUAGCGGGGGAUAACUAUUGGAAACGAUAGCUAAUACCGCAUAACAAUGGAUGACACAUGUCAUUUAUUUGAAAGGGGCAAUUGCUCCACUACAAGAUGGACCUGCGUUGUAUUAGCUAGUAGGUGAGGUAAUGGCUCACCUAGGCGACGAUACAUAGCCGACCUGAGAGGGUGAUCGGCCACACUGGGACUGAGACACGGCCCAGACUCCUACGGGAGGCAGCAGUAGGGAAUCUUCAGCAAUGGGGGCAACCCUGACCGAGCAACGCCGCGUGAGUGAAGAAGGUUUUCGGAUCGUAAAGCUCGGUUGUAAGUCAAGAACGGGUGUGAGAGUGGAAAGUUCACACUGUGACGGUAGCUUACCAGAAAGGGACGGCUAACUACGUG